AUUUCAUACCUCUAUAUAGGUGAGCAGAAGGUAAAUGUCCCUUGACAAUGCAAUGUUCCACUGUUUAAUCAAGGAAUUGUCUAAUGCUACUCAAGGCUUGGUCUGCAAUCUAAUUUGGGCUCAGCAGGUACUGAGACAGAUAAUUACCAUCCCACAGGAAGAGACGUUCAUUCCCCUCUCUCACCAAGGUUCACUAUUCCUCUUAGAAAGUCUCACAGCCAUAGCCACAGGAAGAGACGUUCAUUCCCCUCUCUCACCAAGGUUCACUAUUCCUCUUAGAAAGUCUCACAGCCAUAGCCACAGGAAGAGACGUUCAUUCCCCUCUCUCACCAAGGUUCACUAUUCCUCUUAGAAAGUCUCACAGCCAUAGCCACAGGAAGAGACGUUCAUUCCCCUCUCUCACCAAGGUUCACUAUUCCUCUUAGAAAGUCUCACAGCCAUAGCCACAGGAAGAGAAACGUUCAUUCCCCUCUCUCACCAAGGUUCACUAUUCCUCUUAGAAAGUCUCACAGCCAUAGCCACAGGAAGAGAAACGUUCAUUCCCCUCUCUCACCAAGGUUCACUAUUCCUCUUAGAAAGUCUCACAGCCAUAGCCACAGGAAGAGAAACGUUCAUUCCCCUCUCUCACCAAGGUUCACUAUUCCUCUUAGAAAGUCUCACAGCCAUAGCCACAGGAAGAGAAACGUUCAUUCCCCUCUCUCACCAAGGUUCACUAUUCCUCUUAGAAAGUCUCACAGCCAUAGCCACAGGAAGAGAAACGUUCAUUCCCCUCUCUCACCAAGGUUCACUAUUCCUCUUAGAAAGUCUCACAGCCAUAGCCACAGGAAGAGAAACGUUCAUUCCCCUCUCUCACCAAGGUUCACUAUUCCUCUUAGAAAGUCUCACAGCCAUAGCCACAGGAAGAGAAACGUUCAUUCCCCUCUCUCACCAAGGUUCACUAUUCCUCUUAGAAAGUCUCCCAGCCAUAGCCACAGGAAGAGAAACGUUCAUUCCCAUCUCUCACCAAGGUUUACUAUUCCUCUUAGAAAGUCUCACAGCCAUAGCCACAGGAAGAGAGACGUUCA
Molecule: long non-coding RNA, 1064 nt
Organism: Oncorhynchus keta (chum salmon)
Lineage: Eukaryota; Metazoa; Chordata; Actinopteri; Salmoniformes; Salmonidae
Exons: 3
Source: RefSeq, a predicted model, not a curated record